CCUACGGGGUGCAGCAGUGAGGAAUAUUGGUCAAUGGGCGGAAGCCUGAACCAGCCAAGUCGCGUGAGGGAUUAAGGCCCUGCGGGUCGUAAACCUCUUUUGCCGGGGAGCAGAGGUCCGGACGUGUCCGGGCCGGGAGAGUACCCGGAGAAAAAGCAUCGGCUAACUCCGUGCCAGCAGCCGCGGUAAUACGGAGGAUUCGAGCGUUAUCCGGUUUUAUUGGGUUUAAAGGGUGUGUAGGCGGGCAUUUAAGCCGGCGGUCAAAUGUCGGGGCUCAACCCCGGCCUGCCGUCGGAACUGGGUGCCUUGAGUGGGCGAGAAGUAUGCGGAAUGCGUGGUGUAGCGGUGAAAUGCAUAGAUAUCACGCAGAACCCCGAUUGCGAAGGCAGCAUACCGGCGCCCUACUGACGCUGAGGCACGAAAGUGCGGGUAUCGAACAGGAUUAGAUACCCCUGUAGUC
This 460-nucleotide ribosomal RNA is filed under the name uncultured bacterium. RNAcentral describes it as "partial 16S ribosomal RNA". It matches the Rfam family "Bacterial small subunit ribosomal RNA", at positions 338 to 795 of the family's 1533-position model. The record is from RNAcentral.